Molecule: ribosomal RNA, 465 nt
Filed under: Vreelandella stevensii
Lineage: Bacteria; Pseudomonadati; Pseudomonadota; Gammaproteobacteria; Oceanospirillales; Halomonadaceae
Description: partial 16S ribosomal RNA
Rfam family: Bacterial small subunit ribosomal RNA
Source: RNAcentral
CCUACGGGGGGCUGCAGUGGGGAAUAUUGGACAAUGGGGGCAACCCUGAUCCAGCCAUGCCGCGUGUGUGAAGAAGGCCCUCGGGUUGUAAAGCACUUUCAGUGAGGAAGAACGCCUGGUGGUUAAUACCCAUCAGGAAAGACAUCACUCACAGAAGAAGCACCGGCUAACUCCGUGCCAGCAGCCGCGGUAAUACGGAGGGUGCGAGCGUUAAUCGGAAUUACUGGGCGUAAAGCGCGCGUAGGUGGCUUGAUAAGCCGGUUGUGAAAGCCCCGGGCUCAACCUGGGAACGGCAUCCGGAACUGUCAAGCUAGAGUGCAGGAGAGGAAGGUAGAAUUCCCGGUGUAGCGGUGAAAUGCGUAGAGAUCGGGAGGAAUACCAGUUGCGAAGGCGGCCUUCUGGACUGACACUGACACUGAGGUGCGAAAGCGUGGGUAGCAAACAGGAUUAGAUACCCUAGUAGUC